AUCGCUUCUCGGCCUUUUGGCUAAGAUCAAAGUGUAGUAAAGAGUUAAAUAUAAUGUGCAUAAAAACUUAA
This 71-nucleotide small nuclear RNA is filed under the name Rhodnius prolixus. RNAcentral describes it as "U2 spliceosomal RNA". The record is from RNAcentral. Lineage: Eukaryota; Metazoa; Arthropoda; Insecta; Hemiptera; Reduviidae.